UAUCUCUGUAGAGUCUGCAUAUCAAUAAGCGGAGGAAAAGAAACUAACAAGGAUUCCCUUAGUAACGGCGAGUGAAGCGGGAAGAGCUCAAAUUUGAAAUCUUCAAGGUUUUACCUUGACGAAUUGUAGUUUAAAGAAGUGGUUUCUGUUGAAGUUUCGGUAAAAGUUCUUUGGAAUAGGACAUCAUAGAGGGUGAGAAUCCCGUAUUUGACCGUUAUUUUCAGCUGUGUGAUACACUUUCAAAGAGUCGGAUUGUUUGGGAAUGCAGUCCAGAAUGGGUGGUAAAUUUCAUCUAAAGCCAAAUAUUGGCGAGAGACCGAUAGCGAACAAGUACCGUGAGGGAAAGAUGAAAAGAACUUUGAAAAGAGAGUUAAACAGUACGUGAAAUUGUCAAAAGGGAAGCGUUUGACACCAGUGUUGUUUUCUCGAAAAUCAAUUAAAAAUGGCUUGAUUUUGUGUUGUAUUGACCUUAAAAGCUUUCUUCACUUUUUUCAUGUCUUUUUUAAUGCACUUUUCGUUUAACAAGUCAACAUCAGUUUCUUUUGUUGUAAAAAGGUCAUUGGAAGGUGGCUUUCUUUUCGGAGAAAGUGUUUAUAGCCUUUGACUUCUGCAAUCGGAGAGACUGAGGUCUGCAGCGUAGAUCCUUCUGGAUUAGAUUCAUUUGUGCUAAGUUACAACCGUUUAUAGACAACUUGUUGACUAUAUUCGAUCCUGUUAGCUUACUCGCUUAUGUAAUUUUACCUACGCUUAGGAUGUUGAAGAUGUAGCACAUCA
RNAcentral lists this ribosomal RNA (774 nucleotides) under uncultured Neocallimastigales. Its description in RNAcentral is "partial large subunit ribosomal RNA". It matches the Rfam family "Eukaryotic large subunit ribosomal RNA", at positions 24 to 633 of the family's 3401-position model. Lineage: Eukaryota; Fungi; Neocallimastigomycota; Neocallimastigomycetes; Neocallimastigales. The record is from RNAcentral.